AUGCAUGUUGCUACCCCCGGGCGCAUUGUCUUGGUCAAAGCGGUCCUCACGGCCAUUGCGAUCUACCAUCUCACGCCGCUAGAGCUGCCUGUUGAGGUCUGGAAAAAGAUUGACAGCCUGCGACGUGCCUACCUUUGGGUUGGUUGUGAUAAGGUGUCGGGCGGAAAGUGCAAGGUUAACUGGGAUCUUGUUUGCAAGCCUAAGAUUUUUGGCGGCUUGGGUGUGCUUAAUCUCAAGAAGUUUGCGACCGCCCUUCGUCUUCGCUGGCUUUGGUUUGAAUGGGCAGACCCUCCUAAGACUUGGUUGGCGAUGGAAACGCCCUGUUCAAACAGUGACAGAGAUUUGUUCUCGGCUUCCACAAUAGUGACUAUUGGGGAUGGCAAAAAAGGCUAA
RNAcentral lists this ribosomal RNA (393 nucleotides) under Triticum aestivum (bread wheat). RNAcentral's name for it is "partial small subunit ribosomal RNA". The record is from RNAcentral. Lineage: Eukaryota; Viridiplantae; Streptophyta; Magnoliopsida; Poales; Poaceae.